UGAGGAACAUGACCUUCGGCGGGGGAUAGCCGGCCCAACGGCCGGGUAAUACCGCGUACGACCUUUCGGGGACAUCCUCGGAUGGUGAAAGCAGCAAUGCGCCGAUGGAGUGCCUCGCGGCCUAUCAGCUUGUUGGUGAGGUAACGGCUCACCAAGGCGACGACGGGUAGCUGGUCUGAGAGGAUGGCCAGCCACAUUGGGACUGAGACACGGCCCAGACCUCCUACGGGAGCAG
This 235-nucleotide ribosomal RNA is filed under the name uncultured bacterium. Its description in RNAcentral is "partial 16S ribosomal RNA". It matches the Rfam family "Bacterial small subunit ribosomal RNA", at positions 118 to 347 of the family's 1533-position model. The record is from RNAcentral.